RNAcentral lists this ribosomal RNA (488 nucleotides) under uncultured bacterium. RNAcentral's name for it is "bacterial SSU rRNA". It matches the Rfam family "Bacterial small subunit ribosomal RNA", at positions 903 to 1397 of the family's 1533-position model. The record is from RNAcentral.
AAAUGAAUAGACGGGCACCCGCACAAGCGGUGGAGCAUGCUGUUUAAUUCGAAGAUACGCGAAGAACCUUACCUAGACUUGACAUCCCUGGCAAAUCUAUAGAAAUAUAGAGGAGGUUACCCAGGUGACAGGUGGUGCAUGGUUGUCGUCAGCUCGUGUCGUGAGAUGUUCGGUUAAGUCCGAUAACGAGCGCAACCCUUGUCAUUAGUUGCUAACAUUAAGUUGAGAACUCUAAUGAAACUGCCGGUGAUAAACCGGAGGAAGGUGGGGAUGACGUCAAAUCAUCAUGCCCCUUACGUCUAGGGCUACAGGCGUGCUACAAUGGCCGAUACAAAGAGAAGCGAUACCGCGAGGUGGAGCAAAUCUCCAAAAUCGGUCCCAGUUCGGAUUGGAGUCUGCAACUCGACUCCAUGAAGUUGGAAUCGCUAGUAAUCCUGAAUCAGAAUGUCAGGGUGAAUACGUUCCCGGGUGUUGUACACACCGCCCGU